Molecule: ribosomal RNA, 429 nt
Filed under: Chloroflexota bacterium
Lineage: Bacteria; Bacillati; Chloroflexota
Description: Chloroflexi bacterium partial 16S ribosomal RNA
Rfam family: Bacterial small subunit ribosomal RNA
Source: RNAcentral
UGGGGAAUAUUGCACAAUGGGCGCAAGCCUGAUGCAGCCAUGCCGCGUGUGUGAAGAAGGCCUUCGGGUUGUAAAGUACUUUCAGCGGGGAGGAAGGGAGUAAAGUUAAUACCUUUGCUCAUUGACGUUACCGACAGAAGAAGCACCGGCUAACUCCGUGCCAGCAGCCGCGGUAAUACGGAGGGUGCAAGCGUUAAUCGGAAUUACUGGGCGUAAAGCGCACGCAGGCGGUUGAUUGAGUCAGAUGUGAAAUCCCCGGGCUUAACCCGGGAAUUGCAUCUGAUACUGGUCAGCUAGAGUCUUGUAGAGGGGGGUAGAAUUCCAUGUGUAGCGGUGAAAUGCGUAGAGAUGUGGAGGAAUACCGGUGGCGAAGGCGGCCCCCUGGACAAAGACUGACGCUCAGGUGCGAAAGCGUGGGGAGCAAACAGG